UUGUAGAAUUUGAAGAAUUCAACUUGUAUACAUGAAGGGUUUGAAGACUUCAAGCUUGCAUACUUGUUUGAAUUUAAAGACUUCAAGC
This 88-nucleotide microRNA precursor is filed under the name Solanum tuberosum (potato). Its description in RNAcentral is "MIR8024 microRNA precursor family". It matches the Rfam family "MIR8024 microRNA precursor family". The record is from Rfam by way of RNAcentral. Lineage: Eukaryota; Viridiplantae; Streptophyta; Magnoliopsida; Solanales; Solanaceae.